CAGGAAUCUCAGGGGCGGGGUGAAAUUCCCCACCGGCGGUGAAGGCGAAAGCCGAAGCCCGCGAGCCGCGAGAGCGGUUGAUCCGGUGCGAUUCCGGAGCCGACGGUAAAGUCCGGAUGGAAGAGGAUGCGA
Regulatory RNA element from Ruminococcus sp. CAG:177, 132 nucleotides. It matches the Rfam family "FMN riboswitch aptamer (RFN element)". Rfam says of the family: The RFN element is a highly conserved domain that is found frequently in the 5'-untranslated regions of prokaryotic mRNAs that encode for flavin mononucleotide (FMN) biosynthesis and transport proteins. This element is a metabolite-dependent riboswitch that directly binds FMN in the absence of proteins. In Bacillus subtilis, the riboswitch most likely controls gene expression by causing premature transcription termination within the 5' untranslated region of the ribDEAHT operon and precluding access to the ribosome-binding site of ypaA mRNA. The record is from Rfam. NCBI's taxonomy places the organism in Bacteria, Bacillati, Bacillota, Clostridia, Eubacteriales, Oscillospiraceae.